Dinoponera quadriceps is the source of this 2138-nucleotide RNA transcript. It is a transcript of the gene named thiamin pyrophosphokinase 1, with no coding region annotated. The transcript has 9 exons. NCBI's taxonomy places the organism in Eukaryota, Metazoa, Arthropoda, Insecta, Hymenoptera, Formicidae. The record is from RefSeq and is a predicted model, not a curated record.
AUUUAUUGAUAGCACAGCGAUCUUUGGUAACUCGAGUGUCCCGAACGCUUCUUGUAAACCGGUUUUUGUUUUUCCCUUCGCGAGUUAACGAACGAGCAACGAUCAUUUCAUAACGCGUGCGAAUGUUAACGAUGUCGUCCACCGAUGAACACGUGGCUAUACGAUAUCUAUAGUAUCGGAUAUAGCAGAUAUAUAUGGGAAUAAGAUAUGCGGUUUACACUGUCCUCACGAUGCAUGUAUUAUGCUGUUAGCUCGCGGUUACGCACGUGCACGCACGGAUAUUACGAGACAGAGUAUUGUCACGUUCGAGAACAAGCUGCGAUUGCUGGCGGAGCACGUGGUGUUGUCGAAUGAUAGGAUGCAACAAAAAUCAGAAUUCGACGUGACAGUAUGGAACCCAUUUAACAUCUUUAACUCUGAACAUCGGAACUUUGCGAUUCUUAUGCUGAAUCAACCUAUACUAUGGAAACCUCAGCAAAUGCUUCCAAUUUGGGAGAAAGCUCAGAUCACCGUCACUGUAGAUGGUGGAACGCAAAGAUGGCUGAAUUAUUUAAAGGAGAUAGAAAUAGAUGUACUGAAUGAUGAGCACAGAAAAUAUGUACCUGAUCUUAUUACCGGCGAUAUGGAUAGUUCUUCAGAGACUGUGAUUAAGAAACUGGAAAGUAUAGGUUCUACCGUCAUCAAGACACCUGAUCAGAAUCACACAGACUUUACUAAAGCCUUGGUGAAAGUCGAAGAGUAUGCCAAAGUGAAAAAUAUAAAUUUGAAAGAAAUAUAUGCAUUUGUGGAAACAAGCGGAAGGUUUGAUCAUAUCGUUGGCAACGUGAAUACAUUAUACAAAAGUGAAAAGCUUGUGGGAGAUAUAAAGGUAAUACAAAUUGCGACCAAUUCUUUCACAUGGAUAUUAAGACGUGGCUUACACAAGAUAAAUAUACCAGAGAAACUGGUGCAGCACAAAUCCUGGUGUGGCCUGAUGCCACUCGGAUAUCCAGUGGGACGCAUUUCAACGACCGGCUUAAAAUGGAAUUUAGUUAACGCCUCAAUGAUAUUUGGUGGUUUGGUGAGCACGUCGAAUACGUACGACAAUUGCGAAGUUACCGUGGACACAGAUACUCCUGUAACUUGGUCUAUGGGUAUCGAGCCUUUUAGAGAAACUGUAAAUAGUUAUGGAGCGUCGUAACGUUAUCUUAAAGCUCGACUCACCUAUACUGUCGCCUAGAGCAGAAACAACGUUGUGUAUGACAUACGAUAAAUGCUUGGUGACAGUGGAUACUGAUACACCAAUAGUGUUGUACAUGGAAAUAGACGUUAGCAGCGAGAACUUUUUCAAUUCUCAACUGAAUCGAAUUACUUUGGACUGACAGUACAUUAGAAAACCUUGCGAUGGCCUUCACGUGCAUAUGUACAUUGUUUUAUUGAUUGUUUGGGAUAAGAUUUCCUCUCACUGGUUGCCAAGUCCAUCGGAGAGGAGACACGAGCGUGUGAAAAUAUUUUGAUUCUACUGGGAGGCGAACUCGGGACCUCUAAGCAUAGCAGAACCAGUGCGUUAUCUGUUAUGCCACGCUCGUGCUCGUAUUUCUGAUUAGGUGAUAUUACCUAAUAACUUGACAAAAUGAAUUACAGUCAGUUACAGUUGACGUUUUCUGCCGUAUCAUCAAUAUUGUGCAAAAUUGCAAAGUGAUGAUGGAUACACCUGCAUUUUGGUAUAUUUAAAUUAUGUCGAAGAAAGACUGGACUUCUGUCCUGAAGGAAGUGAACUUGAUCCUGAACUUGAAACACGAUAAUAUGAAAACCUUUCAAUAGCUGUAUCUUUAUAUACGACGAUGGCCAUGGAAGUUGAAGUCCGCUAAGGAGUAUGUAAAUAACUCACUUGCCGAAGCAACUAGUCCUAUGAAUGGAUGAUUCUGAAAUAUCGGGUCUCUGCUAUUAUCCAUCCGCAACUCUACCUCAGUAGAAUUUUUUAUAAAAACAUAUGAAUAUUUGUAAAUAUAUUGUUAAUAUAUUGUAAGGAAGACGUAAUAUUGAUGAUAUUGACUACAUUGUUACUUUAUUUUUUCGUGCCAAAGGAUUGUAUAUAUUCCAUAUUAAAUUAUUGGAGAAAUAAGAAUUAUUGUAAUGACGUAUUAAUAAUUAUAAGA